GCCGGGGUCGCCGAUCCCUCCGGCUGGGCUGGCCGGGCGCUGCCGAGGAUGCCCGCCGAGAGCGCCCCGGGACCCGAGUCUCAGAAGCCCUUUGUGAGCCUUUCCCACGCGCCUUCUAACCCUGCACGAGCUCAGGUGGUCUUUCGUGUGUUUUCCAGGUGGAGGUAAAGGCAAAGGUGACUUGUCCAAGCCCAGAGGAAGGUCAAGACUGCCACACUCCAUUACAUCACCACUGACUCUGGAAAAGAGGAUUCCGAGUAAUAAUAGGGUCCUGAAUCAAGAGUGAUCCCAGCCCCUUCCUGCUCAGUUACAGCAGAGGCCUCCUUUUAAGUCCAGUCUCCCAGCAGCCUCUCUGCUAAGCUUGACUUCAUGGAUGCUUCUUCCUUGAACAGUAUCUUCAUGCUCCAAGCCUCAGUCUCCUGCCUUAAAUUUCCCUCUGCCUGCUGAUCAUAGCCCAGGCGAAAAUACCAAGAGGACACAAUCAUAGUUCAGACUAAAGGCAAAUAACCCUGAGUCGUACAUCACAACCCCAUCUGGACCUUUCUCCAGAUGAGGUAAGAAAAAGUCAGCACAGAUUUCUUCAAAGUGUUCAUGUUGUUUUAAAAAUAUAUAAUCCUAACAGUUCACACUGAAAAAGAUUCUGAGAGAAGACU
Peromyscus maniculatus bairdii (prairie deer mouse) is the source of this 653-nucleotide non-coding RNA. The record is from RefSeq and is a predicted model, not a curated record. NCBI's taxonomy places the organism in Eukaryota, Metazoa, Chordata, Mammalia, Rodentia, Cricetidae.